GUGCCAGCAGCCGCGGUAACACGGGGGGAGCAAGCGUUGUUCGGAAUCACUGGGCGUAAAGGGCGUGUAGGCGGUCAGGUAAGUGAGAUGUGAAACGCCUCGGCUCACCCGAGGACCUGCAUCUCAAACUGCCUGGCUUGAGUAUGGGAGAGGAUGAGGGAAUUCCUGGUGUAGCGGUGAAAUGCGUAGAUAUCAGGAGGAACACCGGUGGCGAAAGCGCUCAUCUGGCCCAAUACUGACGCUGAGGCGCGAAAGCUAGGGGAGCAAACGGGAUUAGAAACCCCUGUAGUCC
Molecule: ribosomal RNA, 292 nt
Filed under: uncultured bacterium
Lineage: Bacteria
Description: partial 16S ribosomal RNA
Rfam family: Bacterial small subunit ribosomal RNA
Source: RNAcentral